CUUUGGUGCCUUCGGGAACUCUGAGACAGGUGCUGCAUGGCUGUCGUCAGCUCGUGUUGAGAAAUGUUGGGUUAAGUCCCGCAACGAGCGCAACCCUUAUCCUUUGUUGCCAGCGGUUCGGCCGGGAACUCAAAGGAGACUGCCAGUGAUAAACUGGAGGAAGGUGGGGAUGACGUCAAGUCAUCAUGGCCCUUACGAGUAGGGCUACACACGUGCUACAAUGGCGCAUACAAAGAGAAGCGACCUCGCGAGAGCAAGCGGACCUCAUAAAGUGCGUCGUAGUCCGGAUUGGAGUCUGCAACUCGACUCCAUGAAGUCGGAAUCGCUAGUAAUCGUAGAUCAGAAUGCUACGGUGAAUACGUUC
RNAcentral lists this ribosomal RNA (364 nucleotides) under Leclercia sp. 8S. Its description in RNAcentral is "bacterial SSU rRNA". It matches the Rfam family "Bacterial small subunit ribosomal RNA", at positions 1009 to 1373 of the family's 1533-position model. The record is from RNAcentral. Lineage: Bacteria; Pseudomonadati; Pseudomonadota; Gammaproteobacteria; Enterobacterales; Enterobacteriaceae.